GAAUGUUCCUCCAGUGUGUUAGGAGUUAUGUUUACGUGCGUCUCACCUUGACGUAUAGAAAUGUGCUGUAUGGAGGCUCCUAAACAGUAAAACGUCACCGAAUCAACAUCCGCUGUACAAGUCCCAGCGCGCUCGCUGAUCGACGGCUUCUUGACCAAUCGGAUUCGAGUAUCCAUCAGCACUGCGGUGUAAUAAAGAUACCUGACGAAUAAAAACACUUUCUUAGGGUCCCCGGUCCAAUCCUGAGUUCGGACGACGGACUCAGUGGAGUCACACGUCCUCCUCGUGUCCACGUGGGCUUCCUCCUGGUUCUCCGGUUUCCUCCAACCUUCCAGAAACAUGCCGGCGGGUCGUCCGGUGACUCUAAAUCGCCCCUGGAUGUAAACGAGUGUACGAGAGGCGUUCGCGGUCGUUAAGUGAUAGCUCGGCGUCCCGUCCGGGAUGCAUUCCUGCCUCGUGCCCAGCGUUCUAAAAGAUGAAGGAACGAAUAAACGAGCUUGACUCAUACGUGACUCCCUCUUUUUAUCGUUUUUCUGUACUCUACCUAGUCCGUCACUAUCGAAUCGACGAUGGUGCGAUGUAAGGAAUCCGCAAGUUACGCAGGUUAAAGGUUAAGGUUAAGUUUUAAGGGCGGGGUCAGCGUCC
This is a long non-coding RNA of Ictalurus punctatus (channel catfish), 645 nucleotides long. The record is from Ensembl. NCBI's taxonomy places the organism in Eukaryota, Metazoa, Chordata, Actinopteri, Siluriformes, Ictaluridae.